UUUUGGUUUAUUGUUUUAUUUGUAUUUUUGAGAAACAAUCAAAUUACAUUGUUAUUGCUGUCAAUGUAUUUAUGUUUGUCCAUUUUAAUGGCGAGAAUUCGCACCUUUCAUAUCAAUGAUAAGAGCACCAAUAUUAAUUUAAUAACGGCGGUUAACUAAAUUACGCGGAUAGCCAACCAGACGAGAAAUAUGCACGUCCUCCCUUCUCGGCGGUUGUUGAAUGACUGAAUUCCCAAAACGAAACAAAGCUACAGCAAGCGUAUCAGCGGAAGAGAGGAACACGGAAUGAAAAGAAACAAAUAUAGAAAUGAAACAUGCGCUCUCUUUAGUAGUGAAGCGAGGGCGUUCAUGUAGCGUACAGAGUACCACAGCAUUGGUGCCGAAUAUUUUCUCUUUGAAAUUGGGAGUAAGUUAACAAAAAUUGAGCGAGCGCGAACGAGCAAAAGGCGAGAUAGAAUGAGAGUGUGUUCAGGUAUCAGUGUAGUGUAUCAUUCAGGAUGUGAUUGGAUAUAGCUAAUAUAAUGUAAUAAAAAUUAAAUAUCUUAUUAUA
Molecule: long non-coding RNA, 550 nt
Organism: Drosophila mojavensis
Lineage: Eukaryota; Metazoa; Arthropoda; Insecta; Diptera; Drosophilidae
Exons: 2
Source: RefSeq, a predicted model, not a curated record